RNAcentral lists this ribosomal RNA (475 nucleotides) under Ceracris kiangsu (yellow-spined bamboo locust). RNAcentral's name for it is "partial 16S ribosomal RNA". It matches the Rfam family "Archaeal large subunit ribosomal RNA", at positions 1900 to 2625 of the family's 2987-position model. Lineage: Eukaryota; Metazoa; Arthropoda; Insecta; Orthoptera; Acrididae. The record is from RNAcentral.
CAAAAACAUGUCCUCUUGAUUAUAUUUUGAGGUCUGGCCUGCUCACUGAUAAAUUUAAAGAGCCGCGGUAUUUUGACCGUGCAAAGGUAGCAUAAUCAUUAGUCUUUUAAUUAAGGGCUGGAAUGAAUGGCUUGACGAGAAAUUAACUGUCUCUUAAUAAUUUAUAAAAUUUAACUUUUGAGUCAAAAGGCUUAAAUUUUUCUUUAGGACGAGAAGACCCUAUAGAGCUUAACAUAUAAUUUAUAUUUAAACUUUAGAUGUUUUUUAUAUAUUUAAUUAUAAAGGUUUGUUGGGGUGACAAGAAGAAUUAAUAAACUCUUCAUUAUAAAAUCAUUAAUUUAUGUUUGUUUGUGAUCCAUAAUUUAUGAUCAUAAGAUUAAGUUACCUUAGGGAUAACAGCGUAAUUGUUUUUGAGAGCUCAAAUCAACAAAGCAGAUUGCGACCUCGAUGUUGGAUUAAGAAAAAUUUUGGGUGC